GCAAAGUGUCACACGGAGAAAGCCCAGACUACCGACAGUUGGGAAUCAGGAUCUACCUGGAGCCUCCCUGGGUGGCCCGGGACUUCGGGGCCAUGGAACUCCGGGUUAUGGGAACCACCGCUCCCUCGCAUUUGGCCAGCGCGGAAAGCGGGAUGGGGACGUUUAAGAAACUCAAUGUCACACGCCACGCUUUCAAGGUGCACAUGACGGCUGCAGACACUCAGGCCCUUAAAAGGAACAUUUAAACUUGGGAGGAGUACAGAUAGAACCCAGAGGCACACCAGUUAGUGUGAACAACACGCGCGGGGACUUUGCGGGAGAGCUCACAAUUCCGGAGUGUACAGGGGCCGGGAGGUGGCUCCGCCCCGCCUCACUCCAGUCAAACUUCACGGUCUCUGCCGGGUGUAAGGGCAUCUUUGCGCUCCCAGGGCUCUACUCGCGCGUCGCCUGUACAAACCCUCUGCUGUGUGGCUUUGUAUCUUUAGGUAAGGGACAUCUUUUGUCUCUCCGCAAGAAGCUUUCCUCGGGGGAAGAUAAAGUAAUCGAUAGGGUCUUUUUAAAUAGCUCCGAGUUUCCUGUCGGGCCAGGAGUAUCAGCGCGCACACCAAAUCUGCUCUGCUUCCUAGGAGGCCUGGCUGCCCUACCUGGCUUGUGCAAACUCCCACUCACCUCACCUGCAGACCCACUGUGCAGUAGCUGUGGCUGGGAAUGCUCUUCCUGGGACGACCUUGCGACUUGCUCCAGUCAACAGAAUGUGACUCAAGUGAUCCCGAGGGAUCUUCAGUACUCUGCUCUCUGGAGGUCUUGGACUCCAAGCCCUGUCCAUUUAACUUGAGAUCUUGCUGCAGUAGUUUAAAAUUAUGAGAGGACAAGAGACCAGGUGGAGGAGAACUGUGGCCUCAGCCAUUACCAGCAUGAGUGACAACAUCCUGAAUUUUCCUGAACCAGUUGAUUAGCAAGUUCAAGUUUCUCAACUGAGAUACUACUGACAUUUAGGACCAGAUGAUUUCUUUGUUGUGGUGGUGAUAGGGGCAGGGAGCUACAUGUCAUGCACCACACAUGGCUUCUACCUAGUAGAAACCAGCCAUAACCAUCACCAUUGUCUUUGGGCAUUCCAAGCAUCCUGGGUCAUUGGGCCAGGAUCACCCUGGUUGAGAACCAACCAGUGCUCUGGCUGAAGGCAGCAGCUGAGUGCAAGGGUUCUAGAAACCACCCGAGGAACCGUGCAUCCAUCCAACCUCAAACUGUAAUAAGUUCCUAGGUUUUGGGAUAACUGAGAGCUGUUAAUUAGUUUCUCUGAUAUUUUUCCUUUCAUGUGUUAAUAUUAGAUGAUGACUUUUAAAAGCUGAAUUCUGAAAGGUCCCAGAAUCCAAAACCGUUUGAGUAUCAUGCUCAGAUUUCUGCAUUCGGAGUGCUCAUCAAGUAAAACCUGUGCAGGUAUCCUACAGAAUACAAACAACAACAAAACAAAGCAAUAGUCCACCCCACCCCUGAAAUCUGAUAAACUUCUGGGCCCAAGAAUUACCGCAAAGAGGACUUAACCUUGGUUGCUUUUGCAAGGUGCUUGUGACUCUAUUCUAUGGUCACCUUUGUCCUUUGACCUCGGGGUGGAGUCACUCAUCAGAAAGCUAUUAAAAAAAGCCUAUGUAUCCACCACAAAACAAAACAAAAUGAGACACCCUAAAGCCCAAACAACAACAACCAAAAUAAAGAUCAAACCUCUUUUA
Molecule: long non-coding RNA, 1727 nt
Organism: Grammomys surdaster
Lineage: Eukaryota; Metazoa; Chordata; Mammalia; Rodentia; Muridae
Exons: 2
Source: RefSeq, a predicted model, not a curated record